UACGUAGGGGGCUAGCGUUGUCCGGAAUCAUUGGGCGUAAAGCGCGCGUAGGCGGCCCGGUAAGUCCGCUCUGAAAGUCCAGGGCUCAACCCUGGAAAGCGGGUGGAUACUGCCGGGCUAGAAUCCGGAAGAGGCGAGUGGAAUUCCUGGUGUAGCGGUGGAAUGCGCAGAUAUCAGGAAGAACACCCGUGGCUAAGGCGGUUCUCUAGUACGGUACUGACGCUGAGACGCGAAAGCGUGGGGAGCGAACAGG
Molecule: ribosomal RNA, 253 nt
Filed under: uncultured bacterium
Lineage: Bacteria
Description: partial 16S ribosomal RNA
Rfam family: Bacterial small subunit ribosomal RNA
Source: RNAcentral